UUUUGUUUUGCCAAAAAUGAUUGUCCAUGAUCAUGACAAUCAUCAUCCAUUCUAGGGACACGUUGAGGGUUGCACCUAUGGGGCUGGUUAUCCCUAUCUUCCUUAAUUGGAUCUCGAUAUUGAUGUUUUUGAUUCACUCGUACCUCAUUCAAAGUAGUAUUCAAUGCUUGAAGUGUAGCAUUUAUUUGUGUGAUUGCAGUAGUAUGUCUGUCUAACUGUUGUUGGACUUUCAUAAGUGCAUCAUUAUUAUCACCUUUAGACAUCUUCAAAACCUGUAAAAAAUAAACACUCAACACUUAAGAAUAAAAG
Molecule: long non-coding RNA, 309 nt
Filed under: Gossypium barbadense (sea-island cotton)
Lineage: Eukaryota; Viridiplantae; Streptophyta; Magnoliopsida; Malvales; Malvaceae
Description: long non-coding RNA (GBAR_LNC013537)
Source: RNAcentral